This 999-nucleotide ribosomal RNA is filed under the name Klebsiella pneumoniae. RNAcentral describes it as "bacterial SSU rRNA". It matches the Rfam family "Bacterial small subunit ribosomal RNA", at positions 1 to 991 of the family's 1533-position model. Lineage: Bacteria; Pseudomonadati; Pseudomonadota; Gammaproteobacteria; Enterobacterales; Enterobacteriaceae. The record is from RNAcentral.
AAAUUGAAGAGUUUGAUCAUGGCUCAGAUUGAACGCUGGCGGCAGGCCUAACACAUGCAAGUCGAGCGGUAGCACAGAGAGCUUGCUCUCGGGUGACGAGCGGCGGACGGGUGAGUAAUGUCUGGGAAACUGCCUGAUGGAGGGGGAUAACUACUGGAAACGGUAGCUAAUACCGCAUAAUGUCGCAAGACCAAAGUGGGGGACCUUCGGGCCUCAUGCCAUCAGAUGUGCCCAGAUGGGAUUAGCUAGUAGGUGGGGUAACGGCUCACCUAGGCGACGAUCCCUAGCUGGUCUGAGAGGAUGACCAGCCACACUGGAACUGAGACACGGUCCAGACUCCUACGGGAGGCAGCAGUGGGGAAUAUUGCACAAUGGGCGCAAGCCUGAUGCAGCCAUGCCGCGUGUGUGAAGAAGGCCUUCGGGUUGUAAAGCACUUUCAGCGGGGAGGAAGGCGGUGAGGUUAAUAACCUCAUCGAUUGACGUUACCCGCAGAAGAAGCACCGGCUAACUCCGUGCCAGCAGCCGCGGUAAUACGGAGGGUGCAAGCGUUAAUCGGAAUUACUGGGCGUAAAGCGCACGCAGGCGGUCUGUCAAGUCGGAUGUGAAAUCCCCGGGCUCAACCUGGGAACUGCAUUCGAAACUGGCAGGCUAGAGUCUUGUAGAGGGGGGUAGAAUUCCAGGUGUAGCGGUGAAAUGCGUAGAGAUCUGGAGGAAUACCGGUGGCGAAGGCGGCCCCCUGGACAAAGACUGACGCUCAGGUGCGAAAGCGUGGGGAGCAAACAGGAUUAGAUACCCUGGUAGUCCACGCCGUAAACGAUGUCGAUUUGGAGGUUGUGCCCUUGAGGCGUGGCUUCCGGAGCUAACGCGUUAAAUCGACCGCCUGGGGAGUACGGCCGCAAGGUUAAAACUCAAAUGAAUUGACGGGGGCCCGCACAAGCGGUGGAGCAUGUGGUUUAAUUCGAUGCAACGCGAAGAACCUUACCUGGUCUUGACAUCCAC